Molecule: ribosomal RNA, 413 nt
Filed under: uncultured bacterium
Lineage: Bacteria
Description: bacterial SSU rRNA
Rfam family: Bacterial small subunit ribosomal RNA
Source: RNAcentral
UCGGGAAUAUUGCGCAAUGGAGGAAACUCUGACGCAGUGACGCCGCGUGCAGGAAGAAGGUUUCGGAUUGUAAACUGCUUUAGACAGGGAAGAUGAUGACAGUACCUGUAGAAUAAGCUCCGGCUAACUACGUGCCAGCAGCCGCGGUAAUACGUAGGGAGCAAGCGUUAUCCGGAUUUAUUGGGUGUAAAGGGUGCGUAGACGGGAAGGCAAGUUGGUUGUGAAAUCCCUCGGCUUAACUGAGGAACUGCAACCAAAACUAUCUUUCUUGAGUGCUGGAGAGGAAAGUGGAAUUCCUAGUGUAGCGGUGAAAUGCGUAGAUAUUGGGAGGAACACCAGUGGCGAAGGCGGCUUACUGGACGGUAACUGACGUUGAGGCUCGAAAGCGUGGGGAGCAAACAGGAUUAGAUACC